Molecule: non-coding RNA, 6082 nt
Organism: Chlorocebus sabaeus (green monkey)
Lineage: Eukaryota; Metazoa; Chordata; Mammalia; Primates; Cercopithecidae
Source: RefSeq, a predicted model, not a curated record
GGCGUUAGCAGCUGGGAAGGCCGCGGCCGGAAGCUAAGUCACAGAGCCGCACUCGCGCUUCAGCCCGCAAGAUGGAGCGUUUCCCUCCAGGGAAGCAGCGCCGCACCUAUGCACAGCCUCGACUCGGUGGAUGAUGCAGGACUCGGCCCAUUUCCCUGCCCUCCAGCUUUCUCAAAGUCAGCCCCGCCCCUUAUCUUUCCUCGGCGAGUUUAGUUUCACCCCCGCCAAGUGGGCAGAGCGCCGAACGAUCGAUGCUUUCUUCGGGCCCUGAGAGCCGCCAUUUUUGAGGGCGGGGGAAGAGAAACAAGCAGCGGCGGCAGAGGCUUAAUGGGAUGCUGACUGGGUUUUGCUUCUCGUCCCAGCCCUGUGGGGCCGGGGCAGAAGAACCCAGCAAAGCCCUUCCUCCGGCCGCCUCUCCGGAAUGAGGUCUCAGCACCCGCGUGGGACAGCACCCUUCCUCCUGCCUGAGAGCCCAAGAAGAGGCCGAAACCGAGACCAUGCCUGGGAAGCUGAAGGUGAAAAUCGUGGCUGGGCGCCAUUUGCCAGUGAUGGACCGUGCAAGUGACCUGACUGAUGCCUUCGUGGAGGUAAAAUUUGGUAAUACUACCUUUAAAACAGAUGUGUACCUUAAGUCACUCAACCCUCAGUGGAACUCGGAGUGGUUUAAAUUUGAGGUGGAUGAUGAAGACUUACAAGAUGAACCUUUACAGAUCACAGUUCUUGACCAUGAUACUUACAGUGCAAAUGAUGCCAUUGGUAAAGUGUACAUUGAUAUUGAUCCUUUACUGUAUAGUGAAGCUGCAACAGUCAUCUCAGGAUGGUUUCCAAUUUAUGACACCAUACAUGGUAUCCGUGGGGAAAUCAAUGUAGUUGUCAAAGUAGACCUCUUCAAUGAUUUAAAUCGAUUUAGGCAGUCAUCAUGUGGAGUCAAAUUCUUUUGCACAACAUCUAUUCCAAAGUGCUAUAGAGCUGUGAUAAUUCAUGGAUUUGUAGAAGAACUUGUGGUCAAUGAAGACCCAGAAUAUCAGUGGAUUGAUCGAAUUCGCACACCAAGGGCAUCAAAUGAGGCCAGACAGAGACUCAUUUCGUUAAUGUCAGGUGAACUGCAGAGGAAGAUUGGCUUGAAAGUACUUGAAAUGAGAGGAAAUGCAGUUGUGGGGUACUUACAGUGUUUCGAUCUGGAGGGCGAGUCUGGGUUAGUGGUGAGAGCCAUAGGAACGGCGUGUACUCUGGAUAAAUUAAGUAGCCCAGCAGCAUUCCUUCCUGCAUGUAAUUCCCCAUCCAAAGAAAUGAAGGAGAUUCCCUUCAAUGAAGAUCCCAAUCCCAAUACUCACUCAUCAGGACCCUCAACCCCUCUGAAAAACCAAACCUAUUCCUUUUCACCUUCCAAGUCCUACAGUCGACAGUCCUCUUCUUCUGACACAGAUUUGAGUUUGACACCCAAAACUGGAAUGGGAAGUGGUAGUGCUGGAAAAGAAGGGGGGCCCUUUAAAGCUCUUUUAAGACAACAGACUCAAUCAGCUUUGGAACAAAGGGGAGGAUCGCCUCAUAGGUUCUGUAGAAGGCGGGAAUUUCCAUUUUUCACCUUGACGGCAUUUCCUCCUGGAUUCCUUGUACACGUUGGGGGUGUAGUUAGUGCACGUUCUGUGAAGCUUUUGGAUCGCAUCCACAAUCCUGCCUUUGUCGGAAUUAUGGGUAACACAAGAUCUUACAAACUGCUAGACUGGAAUAGUUUCAAUUCAGAUGAACCAGAAACUCGAGAUGCAUGGUGGGCAGAAAUCAGACAAGAAAUAAAAUCACAUGCUAAAGCAUUAGGCUGUCAUGCUGUAGUGGGCUACAGUGAAUCAACUAGCAUCUGUGAAGAGGUCUGCAUUUUAUCUGCAUCUGGUACAGCGGCUGUACUGAAUCCUAGAUUUCUGCAGGAUGGCACCGUGGAAGGCUGUUUGGAACAGAGGCUUGAAGAAAAUUUGUCUACACGUUGUGGGUUUUGCCAUAUACCAUAUGAUGAACUGAAUAUGCCAUUUCCAGCUCAUCUCACAUAUUGCUAUAACUGCAGGAAACAAAAAGUUCCUGAUGUUCUGUUUACAACUAUAGACCUCCCAACAGAUGCAACAGUUAUUGGAAAAGGUUGUCUUAUUCAAGCAAGGUUAUGUCGCUUAAAAAAGAAAGCACAGGCAGAAGCAAAUGCUACAGCUAUCAGUAAUCUGUUGCCAUUUAUGGAAUAUGAAGUGCAUACUCAGCUAAUGAAUAAACUAAAACUCAAAGGAAUGAAUGCUUUGUUUGGACUAAGAAUUCAGAUCACAGUGGGUGAAAAUAUGUUGAUGGGCUUAGCGUCUGCCACAGGUGUAUAUUUAGCAGCUUUACCAACUCCUGGUGGUAUUCAGAUUGCCGGGAAGACUCCCAAUGAUGGCUCAUAUGAACAACACAUCUCUCAUAUGCAGAAGAAGAUAAAUGACACAAUUGCUAAAAACAAAGAGUUAUAUGAAAUCAAUCCUCCAGAGAUAUCUGAAGAGAUUAUAGGAUCACCCAUCCCAGAACCUAGGCAACGCUCAAGACUUCUAAGAUCUCAAUCAGAAAGCUCAGAUGAAGUUACAGAAUUAGACCUUUCACAUGGGAAAAAAGAUGCUUUUGUUUUGGAGAUUGAUGACACCGAUGCCAUGGAAGAUGUCCAUUCUCUACUUACUGAUGUUCCUCCUCCUUCAGGCUUUUAUAGUUGUAAUACAGAAAUUAUGCCCGGUAUAAAUAAUUGGACAUCUGAAAUACAGAUGUUCACUUCAGUAAGAGUAAUCAGAUUAAGCAGCCUCAACCUGACUAAUCAAGCUCUCAAUAAGAACUUUAAUGAUCUCUGUGAAAAUUUGCUCAAGAGCCUGUACUUUAAACUACGAUCUAUGAUCCCCUGCUGCCUUUGCCAUGUAAAUUUUACAGUAUCUCUGCCUGAAGAUGAAUUAAUUCAGGUUACAGUCACGGCAGUUGCAAUAACUUUUGACAAAAAUCAGGCUUUACAAACCACAAAAACCUCUGUUGAAAAGUCAUUGCAAAGAGCUUCUACAGAUAAUGAAGAACUUUUACAGUUUCCACUGGAACUGUGUUCAGAUUCACUUCCUUCUCAUCCUUUUCCACCAGUUAAAGUUUAAAAAAAUGCACGGAAUUCCUAAUACCAGCUAUAUGUUCUGUAAUUCUACACCAACCAAAUCUAUACUGCACAAGACAUAUGAGAGCCUCAGGACCCUCUCGGGAUAUGUAAGUUAGGGGUAGGACAGCUGGUGUCCCAGUGUCUCCAUUGAGUCAGUUUCUGUGCUGAGUGUCCCUGCAGAUCAGGUAAGCCUCUGAGUGUCAGCUCUGUGCUGGUCUUUCUGUAGGUCUCAUCUCCUAGACUUCCAAAGUCCCUCAAGAUCCUGAAUCAGGAGGACUUUUCCUGUCUAGAUCUCCAGUCAGCGAGCAUGAUGGUCAGGGCAUGUCCACAGCGUGGUAUCCUCACAGGCCUUUCGUGAACCCCACCUGGUGAUCCCUUUUAUUUAUCAGCUCUGUAUAUGCUGCAGUAUUAGCUAGUGGUCAGUUACUUUAUAAAAACUGUGGGCCAGGUGUGGUGGCUCACACCUAUAAUCCCACCACUUUGGGAGGCCGAGGCAGGCGGAUUACCUGAGGUCAGGAGUUCGAGACUAGCCUGGCCAACAUGGUAAAACCCAUCUCUACUAAAAAUAUAAAAAAAUUAGCCGGGCGUGGUGGUGGGCGCCUGUAAUCCCAGCUACUUGGGAGGCUGAGGCCGGAGAAUCACUUGAAUCUGGGAGGUAGAGGUUGCAGUGAGCUGAGACCGUGCCACUACCCUCCCACCUGGGCAACAAGACUAAAACUCCGUCUCAAAAAAAAAAAAAAUUGUGUUGGUGAGUCGUGGUGAGAUACUUGCAUUGGAUUUUCAAUUAGCAGCAAUAUUCUAUGGUAGAAACAUUCUGUACAAAUAAUGUUUUGAAAAGUUUUUUAAAUUUCAGCAUGUUAUCAAAAAAAUCACAUUAAGUAGAAAUUUAAAAAUUGUAUCUAUCAAUUUAUCUAUACUUAAACUGGCCAACCGAAAUUAUUCUCAGUGCUUUUCAUGAGUUAUUUCCAAAUUGGCAACACUAUUCUUUUAGUUGUAAAAUUCUUUCAAACAAAACUUUAAAUAUUCUAAUGUGGGUAGAACAUGAGCAUUAAAAAUAGAUUAUGAAGUUUUUUUAUAGUGCUAUUUAAAUCUGUACAAUACCUUAAAUACCUGUAAUAAAAAAUAUCAGGGAAAAUUCUGGAUGCUACUGUUAUGAGGUUACUGGAAAGGGAGUGAUACUGCCUGGGAUUCCUAGUUAUCUCUGUGAUAACUCAUUUUUUAGUUUUGCAAAGUCUUGAUACCACCAGAGGGAGCUGUUGAUAUCGAAGUCCUUGAAUGAAGAAGUUGGUGGUGAGGAGAGUUAAGACUAGGGAGCAGCUUAUGCUGAUCUAUGAAGCAUAAUCAUUAUCUUGUCUGUAAUUUUUAAUCUUACAGGCUCUUCCCCACAGCAAACAUUUCCCCUCUAUGUUUCAUUUCAGCUAUUCUUCCCAACACAUUGGCCCUUUUCUCUGCCUGGUCUCACAUCCUGCUUUCAUCAUACUCACAUUUGUUACUAUGUUUAUAUUUUCUUGUGACUAUCAAGUUUCUGAAACUUUUUUUGUGUUAUAGUAAGCAAGUAGUCUCCUUUGGCAUGGUAUUUAUGAACUGAGCUAGUUUUCAUGUGUCAAUAGAAACUGCAUUUUAAACCUAAAUGCUUUUAUUUGGUUUGCUUUUGCAAUGAAGCCAUAAAGAUUUCCUCCUAUUCUUCUGGCUUAUAGAGGUAUUAACAAAUAACAAAGAAGAGGUACUGGCUUGUACUUAGCAUCCGAGCUAAUGUUGUUCAUAUUGUCUUAUUAGAACACCUGGAGAGUGCAAGUUCUAACUCAGGUAUACCAGCUGCACAGAGAGGUGAGUUUGUCUAAUUAAGCAAAUAGUCACCAAAGGUGUAAAAUUCUAGUUUGGUGGUGCAUGAAAUUAUAGACAUCAAAGAAAUGCACUGGACAAUAUGGCAUAGACACCAAAAUCUGGCUUUUUUUUUUUUUUUUUUGUAGGUAGAAUAUGUUCUUUUAAAAAACAUCAAUUAAACUAAUAUUUAAAUUUUUUAGUAUGUUAAUGGUUUCCCAGUUUCUAAGCAUAAAAUUUUAGCUCCUUAAAAUUUCUUCCCAGCUUAGCAGUAGUAAAAGUUAUUCUUUUAAAAAGGGGGAACUUGUGAGGCUCACACCUGCCCCAACCCCGUAUUAUCAGAGGCUUCAUUGCCCAAAAUCAGACAUGGAAACAAAACAUUAACAAAAAUGGCCCUUUGGUUUUCCUCUUACUAACUGUAGAAAGAAGAUAUUUUAAUAACAGAUAAGUCAACUAGUAACUUUUUUAAAUGUGUUCUUCAACAUUUGAUUCUCUUUUUUUUUAAAUUUUAGGGUAAAACUAGGGAAAUGAAUUAUUCACAAAGUUUUGAUUAUAAAAUAGGAACAACUGAAAUAUUAUAAAUUAAGAAGAGUAGGAAAUAAAGUUAGUUAAAGCACAGUAUGUGGUCCUUUCAGUGAUAUUUAUGUUAGACCCCAAUCAGGCUCUCCCUAAGAGACCACACAACUAUGACAUCACCAAAAAUGCUCAGCCUGCUAACUGAGAACUUGGUUUUGGACAAAUCAGUGUCUAAAGCUUGACUCUUUACUAUCUCUCUUAUCUGACUUGAAAAGGACCGUUCUUUUUCUGAGUUACAGUUAAAUUACAUCAUCGAAAGGAGUGUUAAGACGAGUAAGAGACAUCAUCCAUAUUUUUUUCUUUGUUUUUUCUUUUGUUUUCUGUCUGUGUUUUCAGCAACGUCAGUUGAUUACAGUUCCUUUGCAGACAGAUGCAGCAGCUGGAUAGAGCUCAUUAAACUGAAAGCUCAGACCAUAAGGCGUGGAUCAAUUAAGACAACCGUGACAGUUGAAAAAGCAAGUCCAGUGGGUGAUGGAAAUUUCCGGAAUCGUUCUGCUCCACCUUGUGCAAAUUCCACAGUUGGGGUUGUUAAGAUGACACCUCUUUCUUUUA